ACUCAAAUGAAUUGACGGGAGUCUACACAAGCGGUGGAGCAUGUGGUUUAAUUCGAUAAUACGCGCAGAACCUUACCAACUCUUGCUAAUUUUUAUAUAAAAUUUUAUAUAAAAAACAGGCGUUGCAUGGCUGUCGUCAGCUCGUGUUGUGAAAUGUUUGGUUAAAUCCUUUAACGAGCGCAACCCCUAUUGUUAGUUGCUAAUUUAUUAAAAAAAAAUAAAAGUACUCUAACAAAAAAAUUAAUGAUAGGUUAAUGGAAGGUGGGGAUGACGUCAAGUCUUCAUGGCCCUUAUGAGUUGGGCUACACACGUGCUACAAUGAUAAUCACAAUGAGAGGCAAUAAUGAUAAAAAUUGGAGCAAAUCUUUAAAAAUUAUCUUAGUUCGGAUUAAGGGCUGAAACUCGCCCUUAUGAAGUUGGAAUCGCUAGUAAUCGCAGAACAGCAUGCUGCGGUGAAUAUGUUACUGGACUUUGCACACACCGCCCGU
This 488-nucleotide ribosomal RNA is filed under the name uncultured bacterium. RNAcentral describes it as "partial 16S ribosomal RNA". It matches the Rfam family "Bacterial small subunit ribosomal RNA", at positions 899 to 1397 of the family's 1533-position model. The record is from RNAcentral.